AAAUAAGAAGCAAAUUAAUUGCAUUUAAUUUCGACUUAAAAAAUAGAGUACUAUACUCCUUAUUUA
RNAcentral lists this transfer RNA (66 nucleotides) under Nagiella inferior. RNAcentral's name for it is "tRNA-Arg". The record is from RNAcentral. Lineage: Eukaryota; Metazoa; Arthropoda; Insecta; Lepidoptera; Crambidae.